RNAcentral lists this ribosomal RNA (636 nucleotides) under Streptomyces sp. SR-154. RNAcentral describes it as "bacterial SSU rRNA". It matches the Rfam family "Bacterial small subunit ribosomal RNA", at positions 62 to 715 of the family's 1533-position model. Lineage: Bacteria; Bacillati; Actinomycetota; Actinomycetes; Kitasatosporales; Streptomycetaceae. The record is from RNAcentral.
UCGAACGAUGAAGCCCUUCGGGGUGGAUUAGUGGCGAACGGGUGAGUAACACGUGGGCAAUCUGCCCUUCACUCUGGGACAAGCCCUGGAAACGGGGUCUAAUACCGGAUAACACUCGCCGAGGCAUCUCGGUGGGUUGAAAGCUCCGGCGGUGAAGGAUGAGCCCGCGGCCUAUCAGCUUGUUGGUGAGGUAGAAGCUCACCAAGGCGACGACGGGUAGCCGGCCUGAGAGGGCGACCGGCCACACUGGGACUGAGACACGGCCCAGACUCCUACGGGAGGCAGCAGUGGGGAAUAUUGCACAAUGGGCGAAAGCCUGAUGCAGCGACGCCGCGUGAGGGAUGACGGCCUUCGGGUUGUAAACCUCUUUCAGCAGGGAAGAAGCGAAAGUGACGGUACCUGCAGAAGAAGCGCCGGCUAACUACGUGCCAGCAGCCGCGGUAAUACGUAGGGCGCAAGCGUUGUCCGGAAUUAUUGGGCGUAAAGAGCUCGUAGGCGGUCUGUCACGUCGGAUGUGAAAGCCCGGGGCUUAACCCCGGGUCUGCAUUCGAUACGGGCAGACUAGAGUGUGGUAGGGGAGAUCGGAAUUCCUGGUGUAGCGGUGAAAUGCGCAGAUAUCAGGAGGAACACCGGUGG